AGGAGUUGCUGAGAAGGACCUGCGGUUCUGACCUUCAGGGGAAUUCCCACGUCUGUAUGGUGGCUCGUGAAGAGCAUGGUUCCUUUUCUCAGCCCUCUUGAGGGGCGAGGAUGCUGAGGACUGAAGUCUGUGGGGUUGAUGCAUGUGGUCCCCGAGAGGCUGCCACAGGGCCAUUUUCAUGACCAGAGGGGUCUGUUCAACACCCUGUGGGUCCCAGCACCUAUCUCAGGAAGCAGGGUGCAUCUGUCCACCACCAAGUCUCAGGGUGGCUGGGUGAGUGCUCAUCAGUCCCAGACAGCAGGUUGGCACAAAACGACACUGCCCACAAAACCACAGGAAGAAGAGAAACUCCGACUGUCUUUCAGUACACAGAAGACACUGUACUGGACCCGGACAUUAGGCAGACACCCACGCCUGACUUUCAGGAGAAAAGAGAACAUGACUAACGGAUAUUCUUAGUAGAUGGUUUAUUAGAAAAGAGAACAUCUUCCAGCAUGUGUCCUGGGGUGAUGGGUGUGGGAAGCACUCAGUCCAUAGUCCUGGUCCCUGGCUUCCCCAAGCCCAGCGCCGUGAAUGUACAGUGGAAAGCAGAGGGUGCAGCGUCUCAGAAAGAUGCUUCCACUCACAAGGAUUGGAGCUCACAAGUGAGCUCGAUAACCUGCAAACCAGAGAAACCUGAGACACUGCCCCUUGGCCAUUUUAUCAACGGAGACUUUAUUGUGAU
This 724-nucleotide long non-coding RNA is filed under the name Pan troglodytes (chimpanzee). Its description in RNAcentral is "lincRNA". Lineage: Eukaryota; Metazoa; Chordata; Mammalia; Primates; Hominidae. The record is from RNAcentral.